UUUCUUAAGUUAUGUAAUGAAUCAUUCUUUAAUGAUUUAAACUCCAAUUUGUUGGGUAAAAGCAUCCUUUCAUCUCAAAUUACCCUCUAUUAAAGAGCUAUGAAAUAAAGCUGUGAACAUCCCCAUUUGAAAGUAACAGAGGUGGAGGGCUGACUACAACAGACCUGCAGUAUCUACAUGGCUGGCAGGUGAGCCUGUUAGACAGAAGGGAGUUUAUUACAACUGCUGGUGGUGUGGUAGGCUGCUUCUACAUGGCACCCCAUGAUCCCUGCCUCCUGGAAUUGACACCCUUGUGCAAUCCCCUCCUUUAGUGACUUGCUUCUAAAGAAGAGAAUACAGCAGAAGUGAUGUCGCUUCCAAGAGCAGUCUAGGAAACACUGUGGUGUUCCCUCUCAAUCUCUCGCCGGCGAUCUCUGCUGAAUCCAGCGGCUGCAGUGAGCUGCCCUGGAGAUGAGCAAGGAGUUAAGGACUUGAGGACAGCCUGAAGACUGUAGUCAGUGCACCAUUCCAGAGGGAACCGUGUGUAUGAGCUUGGGAGUAGAUCCUGUUCCAGUUCAGCCUUGAGGUGACUGUGACCUGUGGUCACACCUGAGUCACCUGAGUCAGAGGAACCAGCCGAGCUGCCCUGGAUCCCUCACCCAAACCAUAUGAGAGUUGGACUGUGAAGAAAGCUGAGCACUGAAGAAUUGAUGCUUUUGAACUGUGGUGUUGGAGAAGACUCCCGAGAGUCCCUUGGACUGCAAGGAGAUCCAACCAGUCCAUUCUGAAGGAGAUCAGCCCUGGGAUUUCUUUGGAAGGACUGAUGCUAAAGCUGAAACUCCAGUACUUUGGGCACCUCAUGUGAAGAGUUGACUCAUUGGAAAAGAUCCUGAUGCUGGGAGGGAUUGGGGGCAGGAGGAGUAGGGGAGGACAGAGGAUGAGAUGGCUGGAUGGUAUCACUGACUCAGUGGACGUGAGUCUCAGUGAACUCCGGGAGUUGGUGAUGGACAGGGAGGCCUGGUGUGCUGUGAUUCAAGGGGUUGCAAAGAGUCAGAUAUGACUGAGCGACUGAACUGAACUGAUGUUCCAAAACAAAUAAUAGAAGAAUGGAAUGCCUUUGUAUUUUUGCAAAUCUUUUUAAAGCCUGGCUUAUGGAAUACAAUUAAAUUCUUGUAUCUGCUUCAGCA
Molecule: long non-coding RNA, 1166 nt
Organism: Bos taurus (domestic cattle)
Lineage: Eukaryota; Metazoa; Chordata; Mammalia; Artiodactyla; Bovidae
Source: Ensembl